AGAGUUUGAUCCUGGCUCAGGAUGAACGCUGGCGGCGUGCUUAACACAUGCAAGUCGAACGAAGCAUUUAAGACAGAUUUUUUCGGAAUGAAGUUUUUUAUGACUGAGUGGCGGACGGGUGAGUAACGCGUGGGUAACCUGCCUCACACAGGGGGAUAGCAGUUGGAAACGACUGGUAAUACCGCAUAAGCACACAGCUUCGCAUGAAGCGGUGUGAAAAACUCCGGUGGUGUGAGAUGGACCCGCGUCUGAUUAGGUAGUUGGUGAGGUAACGGCCCACCAAGCCGACGAUCAGUAGCCGACCUGAGAGGGUGACCGGCCACAUUGGGACUGAGACACGGCCCAGACUCCUACGGGAGGCAGCAGUGGGGAAUAUUGCACAAUGGAGGAAACUCUGAUGCAGCGACGCCGCGUGAGUGAAGAAGUAUUUCGGUAUGUAAAGCUCUAUCAGCAGGGAAGACAGUGACGGUACCUGACUAAGAAGCUCCGGCUAAAUACGUGCCAGCAGCCGCGGUAAUACGUAUGGAGCAAGCGUUAUCCGGAUUUACUGGGUGUAAAGGGAGUGUAGGUGGUAUCACAAGUCAGAAGUGAAAGCCCGGGGCUCAACCCCGGGACUGCUUUUGAAACUGUGGAACUGGAGUGCAGGAGAGGUAAGUGGAAUUCCUAGUGUAGCGGUG
This 677-nucleotide ribosomal RNA is filed under the name uncultured bacterium. Its description in RNAcentral is "bacterial SSU rRNA". It matches the Rfam family "Bacterial small subunit ribosomal RNA", at positions 8 to 683 of the family's 1533-position model. The record is from RNAcentral.